AGGACGAACGCUGGCGGCGUGCUUAACACAUGCAAGUCGAACGGUGAAGCCCUUCGGGGUGGAUCAGUGGCGAACGGGUGAGUAACACGUGGGCAAUCUGCCCUGCAUUCUGGGACAAGCCUUGGAAACGAGGUCUAAUACCGGAUACGACGCAUCCCCGCAUGGGGUGUGCGUGGAAAGCUCCGGCGAUGCAGGAUGAGCCCGCGGCCUAUCAGCUUGUUGGUGGGGUAAUGGCCUACCAAGGCGACGACGGGUAGCCGGCCUGAGAGGGCGACCGGCCACACUGGGACUGAGACACGGCCCAGACUCCUACGGGAGGCAGCAGUGGGGGAAUAUUGCACAAUGGGCGAAAGCCUGAUGCAGCGACGCCGCGUGAGGGAUGACGGCCUUCGGGUUGUAAACCGUCUUUCAGCAGGGAAGAAGCGCAAGUGACGGUACCUGCAGAAGAAGCACCGGCUAACUACGCGCCAGCAGCCGCGGU
RNAcentral lists this ribosomal RNA (481 nucleotides) under uncultured bacterium. RNAcentral describes it as "SSU rRNA". It matches the Rfam family "Bacterial small subunit ribosomal RNA", at positions 26 to 521 of the family's 1533-position model. The record is from RNAcentral.